AUGAGAUGCAUGAGUUGGAACUGCCGGGGGCUUGGGAACCCCGAGGCAAUUCAAGAGCUUCGCAGUUUAGUGAAGCAAGAAGGACCCUCUCUUCUCUUCGUCAUGGAGACAAAGAUUAGAGGCAAGCGUGUUGAAUUUCUGAAAUAUGGACUUGGUUUCAGUGGCUGCUAUGCAGUCGACAGUGAAGGGUUGAGCGGAGGUAUUGGUCUGUUCUGG
This 216-nucleotide ribosomal RNA is filed under the name Triticum aestivum (bread wheat). Its description in RNAcentral is "partial small subunit ribosomal RNA". The record is from RNAcentral. Lineage: Eukaryota; Viridiplantae; Streptophyta; Magnoliopsida; Poales; Poaceae.